This 29-nucleotide non-coding RNA is filed under the name Mus musculus (house mouse). The record is from RNAcentral. Lineage: Eukaryota; Metazoa; Chordata; Mammalia; Rodentia; Muridae.
UCCCUCCAAUUUAUCCAGAAAAGGAGCGC